GCAAGGGUAGUCAAGCCUGGCCAACGACGCUAGCUUGAGGGGCUAGUCCUUAGUGGUCCGUGGGUUCAAAUCCCAUCCCUUGCA
RNAcentral lists this transfer RNA (84 nucleotides) under Thermoplasmata archaeon. Its description in RNAcentral is "tRNA-Leu". It matches the Rfam family "tRNA". From Rfam's summary of the family: Transfer RNA (tRNA) molecules are approximately 80 nucleotides in length. Their secondary structure includes four short double-helical elements and three loops (D, anti-codon, and T loops). The record is from RNAcentral. RNAcentral also lists the same sequence under 1 other name. Lineage: Archaea; Methanobacteriati; Thermoplasmatota; Thermoplasmata.